CGGCGUGCUUAACACAUGCAAGUCGAACGGAAAGGCCCUGCUUUUGUGGGGUGCUCGAGUGGCGAACGGGUGAGUAACACGUGAGUAGCCUGCCCUUGACUUUGGGAUAACUUCAGGAAACUGGGGCUAAUACCGGAUAGGAGCUCCUGCUGCAUGGUGGGGGUUGGAAAGUUUCGGCGGUUGGGGAUGGACUCGCGGCUUAUCAGCUUGUUGGUGGGGUAGUGGCUUACCAAGGCUUUGACGGGUAGCCGGCCUGAGAGGGUGACCGGCCACAUUGGGACUGAGAUACGGCCCAGACUCCUACGGGAGGCAGCAGUGGGGAAUAUUGCACAAUGGGCGGAAGCCUGAUGCAGCAACGCCGCGUGCGGGAUAACGGCCUUCGGGUUGUAAACCGCUUUCGCCUGUGACGAAGCGUGAGUGACGGUAAUGGGUAAAGAAGCACCGGCUAACUACGUGCCAGCAGCCGCGGUGAUACGUAGGGUGCGAGCGUUGUCCGGAUUUAUUGGGCGUAAAGGGCUCGUAGGUGGUUGAUCGCGUCGGAAGUGUAAUCUUGGGGCUUAACCCUGAGCGUGCUUUCGAUACGGGUUGACUUGAGGAAGGUAGGGGAGAAUGGAAUUCCUGGUGGAGCGGUGGAAUGCGCAGAUAUCAGGAGGAACACCAGUGGCGAAGGCGGUUCUCUGGGCCUUUCCUGACGCUGAGGAGCGAAAGCGUGGGGAGCGAACAGGCUUAGAUACCCUGGUAGUCCACGCUGUAAACGGUGGGUACUAGGUGUGGGGUCCAUUCCACGGGUUCCGUGCCGUAGCUAACGCUUUAAGUACCCCGCCUGGGGAGUACGGCCGCAAGGCUAAAACUCAAAGGAAUUGACGGGGCCCCGCACAAGCGGCGGAGCAUGCGGAUUAAUUCGAUGCAACGCGUAGAACCUUACCUGGGUUUGACAUGGAUCGGGAGUGCUCAGAGAUGGGUGUGCCUCUUUUGGGGUCGGUUCACAGGUGGUGCAUGGCUGUCGUCAGCUCGUGUCGUGAGAUGUUGGGUUAAGUCCCGCAACGAGCGCAACCCUUGUUCACUGUUGCCAGCACGUUAUGGUGGGGACUCAGUGGAGACCGCCGGGGUCAACUCGGAGGAAGGUGGGGAUGACGUCAAGUCAUCAUGCCCCUUAUGUCCAGGGCUUCACGCAUGCUACAAUGGCUGGUACAGAGAGUGGCGAGCCUGUGAGGGUGAGCGAAUCUCGGAAAGCCGGUCUCAGUUCGGAUUGGGGUCUGCAACUCGACCUCAUGAAGUCGGAGUCGCUAGUAAUCGCAGAUCAGCAACGCUGCGGUGAAUACGUUCCCGGGGCUUGUACACACCGCCCGUCAAGUCAUGAAAGUUGGUAACACCCGAAGCCGGUGGCCUAACCGUUGUGGGGGAGCCGUCGAAGGUGGGACUGGUGAUUAGGACUAAGUC
This 1440-nucleotide ribosomal RNA is filed under the name uncultured organism. RNAcentral describes it as "16S ribosomal RNA". It matches the Rfam family "Bacterial small subunit ribosomal RNA". The record is from RNAcentral.